GAUGAACGCUGGCGGCGUGCUUAACACAUGCAAGUCGAACGGAAAGGCCCUGCUUUUGUGGGGUGCUCGAGUGGCGAACGGGUGAGUAACACGUGUGUAACCUGCCCUUGACUUUGGGAUAACUUCAGGAAACUGGGGCUAAUAUCGGAUAGGAGCUCCUGCUGCAUGGUGGGGGUUGGAAAGUUUCGGCGGUUGGGGAUGGACUCGCGGCUUAUCAGCUUGUUGGUGGGGUAGUGGCUUACCAAGGCUUUGACGGGUAGGCGGCCUGGGAGGGUGACCGGCCACAUUGGGACUGAGAGACGGCCCAGACUCCUACGGGAGGCAGCAGUGGGGAAUAUUGCACAGUGGGCGGAAGCCUGAUGCAGCAACGCCGCGUGCGUGAUGACGUCCUUCGGGUUGUAAACCGCUGUCGCCUGUGACGAAGCGUGAGUGACGGUAAUGGAUAAAGAAGCACCGGCUAACUACGUG
RNAcentral lists this ribosomal RNA (468 nucleotides) under uncultured bacterium. Its description in RNAcentral is "partial 16S ribosomal RNA". It matches the Rfam family "Bacterial small subunit ribosomal RNA", at positions 28 to 507 of the family's 1533-position model. The record is from RNAcentral.